RNAcentral lists this small RNA (570 nucleotides) under Schizosaccharomyces pombe (fission yeast). RNAcentral's name for it is "small heterochromatic RNA precursor". The record is from RNAcentral. Lineage: Eukaryota; Fungi; Ascomycota; Schizosaccharomycetes; Schizosaccharomycetales; Schizosaccharomycetaceae.
CAAGAAAAAUGGUUUCCCGCCCAGUGGAUGCUUCUGUGAAUACACAAAAGUUUUGUAUGAAAGGUUAAAGCGGUUGUUUGGCACUGAAUGUAACUACCAAGGAAAAAGUAAUGCUAAGCAAAUUUAAUGAUGCAUAUAUAAUUGGGACAAUUGCAACAUUUGCAAUGUUUUGCCAAAGCGAAAUUGUAUCUUUCGUUUGCGUAUAAGGAAUGUGCCUCGUCAAAUUAUCAUCCAUCCCAGCUGAACAAAUACUGUCAAAGAUUUCAAAAAAUACCGUGAAGCAUUUGCUUUAUUAACGAUGUUACUCAAUAAAAAGAUAUUCAUUUGUGGCAUAACAAGUUCUCAAUUCGAUUCCAAGUACAUGGAGAGCGUAUGUUGAAAUUAAUAAAUCUAAAAUGGGUGAUUAAGGAAGGAUUACUGUGCAUCUUUGAAAGUCAUUCAAUUCCUUAAUUAAAAACGACCAAUAUGCUGCGGGUUCACCCUUAACAUCAUGGUUUUAACCCAACCGACAUCAUGGGUAGUAAAAAUAAGUAAAACCAUAUUCAUAUUCUUUCUUAAUUUUCUCNAUUU